CUCCUACGGGAGGCAGCAGUGGGGAAUUUUGGACAAUGGGCGAAAGCCUGAUCCAGCAAUGCCGCGUGAGUGAAGAAGGCCUUCGGGUUGUAAAGCUCUUUUGUCAGGGAAGAAACGGUGUUUCCUAAUACGGAAUGCUAAUGACGGUACCUGAAGAAUAAGCACCGGCUAACUACGUGCCAGCAGCCGCGGUAAUACGUAGGGUGCAAGCGUUAAUCGGAAUUACUGGGCGUAAAGCGUGCGCAGGCGGUUUUGUAAGUCUGACGUGAAAUCCCCGGGCUCAACCUGGGAAUUGCGUUGGAGACUGCAAGGCUAGAAUCUGGCAGAGGGGGGUAGAAUUCCACGUGUAGCAGUGAAAUGCGUAGAUAUGUGGAGGAACACCGAUGGCGAAGGCAGCCCCCUGGGUCAAGAUUGACGCUCAUGCACGAAAGCGUGGGGAGCAAACAGGAUUAGAUACCCUGGUAGUCCACGCCCUAAACGAUGUCUACUAGUUGUCGGGUUUUAAUUAACUUGGUAACGCAGCUAACGCGUGAAGUAGACCGCCUGGGGAGUACGGUCGCAAGAUUAAAACUCAAAGGAAUUGACGG
Molecule: ribosomal RNA, 587 nt
Filed under: uncultured bacterium
Lineage: Bacteria
Description: bacterial SSU rRNA
Rfam family: Bacterial small subunit ribosomal RNA
Source: RNAcentral